AUGCAAUUAAGCCCACUGUGCUGCCCUCCCCAUGGCGCCUGGUGUGCAGUGGCUGCAAACAGCAGUCUCCUGGGUAGUGUAUGCAGCCUGUUGCUUGUAUAGGCUGCCUUAAGGGACCCUGGAGACAGCC
This is a small nucleolar RNA of Erinaceus europaeus (western European hedgehog), 130 nucleotides long. Its record names the gene SNORA70. It matches the Rfam family "Small nucleolar RNA SNORA70". Rfam says of the family: snoRNA U70 seems to be exclusive to mammals and is a member of the H/ACA class of snoRNA which contain H (ANANNA) and ACA box motifs. H/ACA box snoRNAs are involved in the conversion of uridines to pseudouridines (5-ribosyluracil) a constituent of structural RNAs (transfer, ribosomal, small nuclear, and small nucleolar). The record is from Ensembl. NCBI's taxonomy places the organism in Eukaryota, Metazoa, Chordata, Mammalia, Eulipotyphla, Erinaceidae.